This is a long non-coding RNA of Tripterygium wilfordii, 3430 nucleotides long. RefSeq lists it as uncharacterized. Lineage: Eukaryota; Viridiplantae; Streptophyta; Magnoliopsida; Celastrales; Celastraceae. The transcript is spliced from 9 exons. The record is from RefSeq and is a predicted model, not a curated record.
GCUUCAGACAUGGAAGCUCAUUCCAUUGCUUGCAACAAGAAAUGAAAAUCAGACCUCUGUCGAAGGAGCUGCGGUGGAUCAACUUUUGAUGGCGUGAAGUCACUGAAGGACUGGAACAUCUCUUCCAUCGAGAACGGUACUCAAUGGAGGUUAAGGUCAAGAAAUUUUACCAGAAAUCCAAUGGCUUGCCGUAUAUGUUGAAGUUCAUCCCACGAUGACUGCACAAACUGUAAAAUAUGCCAAAUCAGUAAAUGUGAAGAAUAGCAUUGAUGCUGUUUGUUUCUCCUGAAAAGCUGUGUAUUCAAUUAAGAAUUGUCCGUACUUUUACCGUUUGAAGUUCUUCUUCUAUCUGAUGUCCAUUAUCCAAACUCUGCGCCAUCAUAGGAGGCUUACAUUUCUAGUUCAGUGGAGAUGUCCUCAUUCGUUGAAGCAACCAGAGUCUGCUGGCGUAGAACCUGAUUCUCUGAUUCGAGGACAAUUGCAGCUUGUGCUUCGUCUAGUUGUUGCUGAGUUCCCCUUAAAUCAUUUUGUAGCUUCACAAUUUCUUGCGCUUUAGCUUCUUCUAGAUCAAUCUGCAGAGCAUUGUCAUCACUUGGGAUUUAGUGGAGCUAGUCAAUUACUUGAAUUAGUAUCAACGUUUGACACGUCUCAACUGGCAUCUUUGCGGUGAAGAAUUAUCAACUGAAGCCAUUGAUGUUACUUUGACCCGAUAAUAUGGUGGAAGACUUUGGCGGUUACCUAGGGAAGAGAACUUGGACUGCUUUGAGGAUUCCUCUGGCGGAGGGAAAAGACUAGCAACAAAAGGGCACCUUGAGGCAUAUAAUAGAGCUUGAUGUUCUGCUACAACAUAAUCCUUGUUUUUAUCGAGAAACUGAUCUGCUUGGUCCUGGUCGACUUUGUUAUUCAUACCAAUCAAACAGUCGGGAGUAAACAGUCUUGGCCAAGGCAUCACGACUUAGGGCGGCUUGAUUUGGGUCCAAUGGUUUUGUGAUGUUACCAUCAGGAGUCACUAUGACACGCUUGCAAAGCCAGAGAUCUAACAUGAGUAGCUCUGCUGCUGUUUGAAGAUGGUAGCGAGACUUUUCAUCCUUCACUUUUGAAGAAUCCACUUCCUUCCCUUUGAUGAAGUCGAUGUUUCCGAGAUGUAGGAUUGCAGCUACCACACGGAAUAUUGCUUCCUGCACAGCAGCACAGCAAGGUCACACACUGCUGACGUACCUAUAACAAGUGUCUGCAACUGCAAAGAGAUGUGGACUUAACUCCCCGAAAGCUGCACCCUUGUACUGUUCCAUCAUGUGGAUGUCAUACAAGUGUGGCAGUCUCCGAAAAGGAUUCACCGCUAUGAGAAUGCUGCCAGUGUAAGUCUGCUUAAAUCAGGAGUGGGUGUUAGUUAUCUACUUGUUUGGUUACAUAUUGAUAAGGCUAGGCUGGCUAGCUACUAAAAGAAUCAACUUAGAGGAUGUGACUCACAUAUAUUUCAUUUAGAGCAAAUCGACAAGUGAGGUUAUGUAGGACCCCCGGCUCAUGAAGGUAAGCUAACUUGGUCAUGUCAUCAACGCCCGCUGGUGGUGCUUCUGUGUCUUUUGGAUAUAUGCUUCCAAUAACUGCAACUAUCUGGAGUGGGGUAGAAGCAAUUCAUUAAAAAUAAAUCAAAAUUUUGUUUUCUUUUCAAAUACUCUGCAGUUCAAUGUAGCUGUAUCGAAAGCAGACUUGAACCCUUGUUACAAAUACUUUACUGGACUCACAAAUUAUGGAAUUUACCUGUAAGAUCCUGGCCCUGUUUUUCUUUUAAAAUGAUGUCUUUCUUUUAAAAUUUUCUACACUUUUGUUCCCUUUGUUUUGUUCAAAACAGUACAAUUUUUUAAUUUGAUUAAUCCAUUGGAGAAUUUUAGGAUGACUUUUUUUUUUUUUUAAUUUAGGAAGUAGAUUGAUUAACAUGCUAAGCAGCACAACAUUUUAUGAAAAUUCAACCUUAUAAUCUUGUAAUUCCUUUCUUCCCCCCGUAAAAUUUUCAUUAGUCAAAUACUCAUCAUCAUCAUCCAGAGAUCCUAAGCUUUCUUUCUAUUUCAGUUUGCCAGUGUUGUAAUAGAUGAAGCUGUUAAGAAGUUUCACACAUUAUGCGAUUUUCCAAUGCUGUGGUAGGAGAACAUGAAUUGAAACAUGCAGGGGAUUGGAUGACAAACAUGGAGAGGUAGUCCCAAUAUUUUGGGAAGUAAACUGUAGGAGCAACUUACAGUUUUACCAUCUGGGGUAAUUAUGGUGGCAUCUCUGCCAUUGAUUUCUGACACUUCACCAUCAAUCCAUGCAUUUUCAGGAUCUUCUGCCCAGACAUGUGAUCCAACUACGAUGUUUACUGGAGUUCCCUGCAUCAUCAUCCGACAAAGAACAAGAAAAAUACAGGAGGUUAGCAGGCACAUCGUGAAUGAAUUGCAGAUGACAAUGAUCAAGGAGCUUACCAUGCUGAAGUUCUAAGCAUCAAAAUCCAGUAGAUGAUGAAGGCCCUUUUUGUCGAAGAAAAGAGAGGUAUUCACCAGAAAUGUUCGUACUUGUGAAUCACAGAACUUGAUAGAAGAAGAGAAUGUCUGAAUGGAAUUCAAAAGCAGUGGCAAUGAAUGUGGUGUUUGUAAAGCAAAAAGCAGCAGCCACCCCUCACCUCCCUGCCCCCACUGUUUUCAAACUUUUCUUUUUCUGCUGAUUCCACAUAGGACGCUGACUUGGCACCAGAAGAAGCCUCUGGCCAGUGGUAAAACUAUGUUAGCGUGACUAGGAUUUUUGGUGGGCUCAGAUUGUCUGAGUCCAGUGCUUAGUCCUCCUUCCACCUGACAUCAUCAUGAAUAGCAGGUUCUUUUUCUUCUCUUACAUGUAUGUAUGUAUAUAUGUUAUUAUUAUAUCUAUUGGCAUAUCCAGGGUCAUGAGUUUGCUCAUAUUUGUAGCUUUAUUUUGAUUAAUAUAGGUUGAUAACAACUCAAAAGCUUACAUAAUUUGAAUAGUCAUUGCCUAAAAAACUUUUUGUUAAAGCAAAGUAGGAUUAGGGAAGCCAGUUAUUAUUAGGUGUUCCCACAUGUGAGAUGCUUUAAGCUCCUCCAUCCCCACAAAAUGUCUCUUAAAAUAUUUCUGUCUGGGCCAGAGGGAGGUGGUGGUUGACAUGUCUAGUAGAAGCCGAGUCAGAAAUUCAAAGUUUAUGGAAGCCGACUGGCAUUUGCCAAAGUCAGAGAUGAGAAACACAUUGCAGGGUAUACAAUGGCGGUCGCCGACCUGGACCCUACUUUCUUCUUUCUUCGUUUUGAUGAUUUAGUAAGGAAGGGAGGGCGGUGGAGAAUGGGGGCUGGCGGUGGUAGUGGUCAGAGUAUUGUAUAGAGAGAGUUUCUUUGUUGUGUGGGUGGGGUCCUGUGAAACGUAUAUACCAUAUAUUCUAUGAUGCCUUUCCAAA